RNAcentral lists this long non-coding RNA (1407 nucleotides) under Musa acuminata (dwarf banana). RNAcentral's name for it is "long non-coding RNA (MACU_LNC000971)". Lineage: Eukaryota; Viridiplantae; Streptophyta; Magnoliopsida; Zingiberales; Musaceae. The record is from RNAcentral.
UUAGGACUCUCUAAGUCUUAACCUAGUAAGGACUCUCUUAAGUCCUAACUGCAUUAAAACUCUCUUAAGUCCUAACCUAGUUAGGACUCCACCCCUUCCAUAACGAUAAAAGGAGGAGAGCCCCAUCCAAAGCAUCCCCCAAAGCAACCAAGAAGCCAUCAGUAAAGAGCCCAGUCAGCCCUAGUUUUUCCUGCCUUAGAGCAGUGAAGAACAGCGAGAAGAGAAGGGAAGAAUUCUAUGCAGUGCAGCCAGUUCCUCUCAGCCGUAGCCUUCUUCUGCAAGUUCCAGCAGCCCAAAGCUCCACCCCAAAGCUUCAUACAGCUGCUGUGAGAAGUCCUCAAUGCCUUCUGUCUACUGUUUAAACCUCAGGAGGAGGUUCCUGCAGUGAAGAGGUGAGACCAAAAACGACAGUGACCGCAACCUACCGGGGGUGCUGUCUAAAGACAACCUGCAUUCUCACGCACCCAUAAACUUACUAUCACGUUUUUUAUUCCAUUGUUUCAAGCCUCGUAGUUAGUACUUUGACUUUACAAACAAUAGAGGUUGUUUUCUUUCAGUUUUUACGCUUGGUCUUUUUACCAUAGUUCUCUCCCUCGCCAAACUUCCAUUUGAAAGUAUCGAGUCGACAGAUUGUCGAACCCAAACCCCAUACGGAUCGAUCCAUAGCUUGCUCUACUAAAGGCAACUUGACAUUUCCCUGAAUUCCUCAGCCCUUUUUCCUAUGCUUCUAAUGUUGGGGCCAACCCAAAGUAAUUUUUGACCUGGCAUGCUCAUAAAGAAGUGUUGAUUUUUGAAGGGAAGAGAGAUGUAGCCUGAAAAGAAGUGAUAGAUCGUCAAGGUUGAGAAUCAAUGAUGUCUGUUAUUUAUGACUAGAAACUCGGCAAAUACACCAACUGAACUACAUUUCUAUUUAGUGUAAGCUUUGAUAAAUCUAUAUAGUUUUGGUUAUAGAUCAUAGUUAUAGAUCAAAAAGGCUCUGUCGUGGUUUGUUAAAUUUGUUGGUUAGAUGUCAAUGUGUGACAUCAAAACUCUUAAAGAUUGUGCCAAAUUUGUACUUUUGCAAAUUCUAGGCAGGAAGGUGACUCAUGUGAAUAUGUAUGACCACAAAUACAAACGAAAGAAGAAAAACCCCGAAGGAGAACAAAUUGUUAAUGUGUAAUUCAAUCUGGAUAUUAGACUCAUUUAAGUUCCUUUUACCUUCUUUUAAUGAUCCUAAAGCAAGAAAACAAUUUACUUGAAUUGACGGAUUUUUCAAAGAUAGGAAGAGGUAUUAGGUGGUCCUUCAUUUUUAGUAGUAGGAAAAUUCAUAACUAAUUACCAUUAUAAAUUCUGCUUCACAUCCUUCAUGAUUCAAUACAUAGUAAUCCAUAUUCUGAUACAUAUUCUUCAGUCACUAAUAUAAAAAUC